RNAcentral lists this transfer RNA (65 nucleotides) under [Phormidium] sp. LEGE 05292. RNAcentral's name for it is "tRNA-Leu". It matches the Rfam family "tRNA", at positions 6 to 65 of the family's 71-position model. From Rfam's summary of the family: Transfer RNA (tRNA) molecules are approximately 80 nucleotides in length. Their secondary structure includes four short double-helical elements and three loops (D, anti-codon, and T loops). Lineage: Bacteria; Bacillati; Cyanobacteriota; Cyanophyceae; Aerosakkonematales; Aerosakkonemataceae. The record is from RNAcentral.
ACUAGCCAAAUGGAAAAGGCGCUUGACUUAAGAUCAAGAUAUACAGGUUCAAAUCCUGUGUGUGA